RNAcentral lists this ribosomal RNA (253 nucleotides) under uncultured bacterium. RNAcentral's name for it is "partial 16S ribosomal RNA". It matches the Rfam family "Bacterial small subunit ribosomal RNA", at positions 524 to 776 of the family's 1533-position model. The record is from RNAcentral.
UACGGAGGGUGCAAGCGUUAUCCGGAUUCACUGGGUUUAAAGGGUGCGUAGGCGGAUAGGUAAGUCAGGGGUGAAAUCUUUGGGCUCAACCCGGAGACUGCCUUUGAUACUAUCUAUCUUGAAUAUUGUGGAGGUUUGCGGAAUAUGUCAUGUAGCGGUGAAAUGCUUAGAUAUGACAUAGAACACCUAUUGCGAAGGCAGCAAACUACGCAUAUAUUGACGCUGAGGCACGAAAGCGUGGGGAUCAAACAGG